Long non-coding RNA from Papaver somniferum (opium poppy), 1117 nucleotides. RefSeq lists it as uncharacterized. NCBI's taxonomy places the organism in Eukaryota, Viridiplantae, Streptophyta, Magnoliopsida, Ranunculales, Papaveraceae. The transcript is spliced from 5 exons. The record is from RefSeq and is a predicted model, not a curated record.
GAAAAUGAGUAGAUAGAUCUAAUCACUGACUGAUCAUUAAAAAAGAAACACCUAAAGAUAUGGAAUGUUUUGGAAGAAAAAUAAGUAAUAAAUCAAAAGGGACUCGGAAGAUCAAGAAGAAGAAAAGGAAGAAAAGAGAGGGUUCGUUUGCUGAUCUCGGUUUGAGCGGAAUCGGAAAAGGACUUCCCGAAGAUUAAUUUGCUCAUUCUAAGGCUUGUGUGCCGGAAUGGAAAUAAUAACGCGAGGUAUGACGAAGGUGAUGCUGAUGCAGACUGAUGAUCAUCUUCGGUUUCCAUAUGAGAUAAAUAGGAAAGACAUCACUAUCAACACCACGCCAUAUGAAUGAAAAGCGUCUUGCAUAUAAACCCAACGAAAGAAGCUUGUGAAAUUUUGGACUACUGAAGAGCAUCAUGUACUUUCUGAUCACAAUGUUAAGAGUAGAAGCCACCCGAAGCCAAGCACGCCACGGUUAGGAAAUUUCCCUCGAUGCAAAGCUGGAAAUGGUUUUUGGAUGUCUACUGAUGCCAGACGUUUCACAAUAUCUGCAAAGAUACCCAGAGUUUCAAACAAAAGCAUAACUUUGGUGGUCCAGUAUUCUAUAAAAUAAGAGCAAGACAUCAAAUGUGAUGCUGGUUAUAAUAAGCUUCUUUCAGGUUAUGUCAAUCAGAAGAAAUUUGGUGGUGAUACUCCUUACAGUUUAAUGUUUGGGCCAGAUUUAUGUGGUUCACAGACGAAGAAGCUACAUAUUAUACUUUCCUACAAACUGCAGAAUUUCCUACGAACUGCAGAAUUUGGGGAGCGGAACCAAAAGGGUUUAGGACAUGUUUAGAGAUUUAGUCUUACAUUGGAAAACAAUUAUUACAUAGUCAUAAUGGCAUCAUGGUUUUCCUCUCUUGUUUUUGAAGAGUUCCUGUUGUAUUUCACUUGAAACUUGUGUGGAUUUACCAGAACACCUGGCUAAGGGCUGCUUUUCUACAUGUAUGAAGCAGGUGUUUCAAGUUGAAUAAUCUAGUGAUUUGAUUAUUCUCUAGUGCCUGCAUGGAUUUCAUAUGGCAGGAUAAGACCGAUGCAUAGUGGUAUUUAUAAAAUACCAUUCCUAUCCUCUUUAUUUUUCUUC